UCCGAACUGGUGUAUCGGUAACAUAUCCGCCUCUCAUGAUCAUUGAUCAGAACCCGCGGUUGCGCGGGGUUCGACUCCCCGGUUCGGAA
This 89-nucleotide transfer RNA is filed under the name Pseudogymnoascus destructans 20631-21. RNAcentral's name for it is "tRNA-Glu". Lineage: Eukaryota; Fungi; Ascomycota; Leotiomycetes; Thelebolales; Thelebolaceae. RNAcentral also lists the same sequence under 5 other names. The record is from RNAcentral.